GACAGAGGGUGCAAACGUUGUUCGGAAUUACUGGGCGUAAAGCGCGUGUAGGCGGCCCUGCAAGUCGGAUGUGAAAUCCCACGGCUCAACCGUGGAAGUGCAUUCGAAACUGCAGGGCUAGAGUCCUGGAGAGGAAGGUGGAAUGCUUGGUGUAGAGGUGAAAUUCGUAGAUAUCAAGCGGAACACCGGUGGCGAAGGCGGCCUUCUGGACAGUUACUGACGCUGAGACGCGAAAGCGUGGGGAGCAAACAGG
RNAcentral lists this ribosomal RNA (253 nucleotides) under uncultured bacterium. RNAcentral describes it as "partial 16S ribosomal RNA". It matches the Rfam family "Bacterial small subunit ribosomal RNA", at positions 524 to 776 of the family's 1533-position model. The record is from RNAcentral.